Molecule: long non-coding RNA, 701 nt
Organism: Phascolarctos cinereus (koala)
Lineage: Eukaryota; Metazoa; Chordata; Mammalia; Diprotodontia; Phascolarctidae
Source: RefSeq, a predicted model, not a curated record
CAAGCUCUUCUUUGAGGUAGGGAGAUCUGGAACCUCUUUGUAUUUUGAAGAAGUCGUCUUUUCUCUCAGAAGCUCAAAUUUUUGUUUUUACAUUCCCUUCUAGGUAUGGCCACACUCAAGCCCCAGAGCCAUCUCAGAGAAGCUGUGGAUCAAAUGGAACUCCCAAACAAUGACCUACCCAGCAAUGAACCUAUACAAGAAAUGUUCAAUCUUUUGUUUUCUGUAGACUGCAAAGUUCCAGUUUCUACACAAAGUACUUAUCAGUUCCUCAAUUGUUAGUGCUUCCAGGCUCCUGAAAUUACUCUGCACUUACUAGAUCUACCUCAAGGCUGAUUCACAACACACUAGGAUUAGGAUCCUACUUGGUCUUUGGGUAUUACUGGAGCAGUCUGUCUUAAAGCCAAACUGUAUGUGAUGAAGUUGAAUCAUCUCCUAUUUGAAAAGUAAAUAGGAAUCCUUAAGUACAACUUUGUGGCCCCUGGCUGUAUUUGAAUUUGACAUCACUGCUGUAAUUCACAUAUUGAGGAACCUCAGCCUUAAAGUCAGGACAAAAUAAGGGCCUUAGCACAGUGCGUGGCACAUAGUAAGCACUUCAUGAUUGCUGAAAAUUAAAUUGAACUAUUCCAAGGCUACAGAUGAAGAAGAGAUCAUCUGUUGACAAAAAUACGUAAAGAACUAUUUCCAGAGAUUUCCCUCCACCA